UUUAGGUUGAGCUUCCUUCUGUAU
Molecule: non-coding RNA, 24 nt
Filed under: Arabidopsis thaliana (thale cress)
Lineage: Eukaryota; Viridiplantae; Streptophyta; Magnoliopsida; Brassicales; Brassicaceae
Source: RNAcentral